GUCGCAAGACCAAAGUGGGGGACCUUCGGGCCUCAUGCCAUCAGAUGUGCCCAGAUGGGAUUAGCUAGUAGGUGGGGUAACGGCUCACCUAGGCGACGAUCCCUAGCUGGUCUGAGAGGAUGACCAGCCACACUGGAACUGAGACACGGUCCAGACUCCUACGGGAGGCAGCAGUGGGGAAUAUUGCACAAUGGGCGCAAGCCUGAUGCAGCCAUGCCGCGUGUGUGAAGAAGGCCUUCGGGUUGUAAAGCACUUUCAGCGGGGAGGAAGGCGUUAAGGUUAAUAACCUUGGCGAUUGACGUUACCCGCAGAAGAAGCACCGGCUAACUCCGUGCCAGCAGCCGCGGUAAUACGGAGGGUGCAAGCGUUAAUCGGAAUUACUGGGCGUAAAGCGCACGCAGGCGGUCUGUCAAGUCGGAUGUGAAAUCCCCGGGCUCAACCU
This 442-nucleotide ribosomal RNA is filed under the name Klebsiella quasipneumoniae subsp. similipneumoniae. RNAcentral describes it as "bacterial SSU rRNA". It matches the Rfam family "Bacterial small subunit ribosomal RNA", at positions 192 to 615 of the family's 1533-position model. The record is from RNAcentral. Lineage: Bacteria; Pseudomonadati; Pseudomonadota; Gammaproteobacteria; Enterobacterales; Enterobacteriaceae.